AGAGUUUGAUCAUGGCUCAGGAUGAACGCUGGCGGUAUGCCUAACACAUGCAAGUCGUACGAGAGUUUUUAACUCUAGUGGCGGACGGGUGAGUAACACGUAAGAAUUUACCUUCAGGAGGGGGAUAACAAUUGGAAACAAAUGCUAAUACCCCAUAUGCUUUCGAGUGAAAUGGAUUUAUAUUUAUCCGCCUAAAGAGAAGCUUGCGUCUGAUUAGCUUGUNGGUAAGGUAAAAGCUUACCAAGGCGACGAUCAGUAUCUGGUUNGAGAGGACGAUCAGACACACUGGAACU
Molecule: ribosomal RNA, 293 nt
Filed under: uncultured bacterium
Lineage: Bacteria
Description: partial 16S ribosomal RNA
Rfam family: Bacterial small subunit ribosomal RNA
Source: RNAcentral